Molecule: ribosomal RNA, 1035 nt
Filed under: uncultured archaeon
Lineage: Archaea
Description: bacterial SSU rRNA
Rfam family: Archaeal small subunit ribosomal RNA
Source: RNAcentral
UCCAGGCCCUACGGGGUGCAGCAGGCGCGAAACCUUUACAAUGCACGCAAGUGUGAUAAGGGAAUCCCUAGUGCUCAUGUACUGCAUGGGCUUUUGUUAAGUGUAAAUAGCUUGACGAAUAAGUGGUGGGUAAGACUGGUGCCAGCCGCCGCGGUAACACCAGCGCCACGAGUGGUGACCACGUUUAUUGGGCCUAAAGCGUCCGUAGCCGGUUUGAUAAAUCUUUUGUGAAAUUGUUUAGCUUAACUAUACAGCGUGCAAGAGACACUGUCAAACUCGAGACCGGGAGGAGUCAGAAGUAUUCCAGAGGGAGCGGUAAAAUGUUAUAAUCUCUGGAGGACUACCUGUGGCGAAGGCGUCUGACCAGAACGGAUCUGACGGUGAGGGACGAAAGCUAGGGGAGCGAACCGGAUUAGAUACCCGAGUAGUCCUAGCCGUAAACGCUGUGAGCUAGGUGUUGCGCCAGCUACAUGGUGGUGCAGUGUCGAAAUGAAGAUGUUAAGCUCACCGCCUGGGAAGUACGGUCGCAAGACUGAAACUUUAAGGAAUUGGCGGGGGAGCACCACAAGGGGUGCGGCGUGCGGUUUAAUCUAACUCAACGCAGAGAACCUUACUAGAAGCGACGGCAGAAUGAAGAUCAGCUUGAAGAGCUUAUCUGACAAGCCGAGAGGUGGUGCAUGGCCGCCGUCAGCUCGUGCUGUGAAGUGUCCUCUUAAGUGAGGCAACGAGCGAGACCUGUAUUCGCAAUUGCUAACAGCAACAUGUUGGACUGAGCACUUUGCGAAGACUGCCUUGGAAACAAGGAGGAAGGUGCAGGCUACGGUAGGUCUGUAUGCCCCGAAUCUUCUAGGCUACACGCGCGCAACAAUGGUUGGGACAAUGGGAUGCAACUCCGAAAGGAGAAGCUAAACCUCUAAACCCAAUCCAAGUCCAGAUUGAGGCUUGCAACUCAGCCUCAUGACGACGGAAUCCCUAGUAAUCAGAAGUCAUCAUCUUCUGGUGAAUAUGUCCCUGCUCCUUGCACACACCGCCGUC